Molecule: ribosomal RNA, 439 nt
Filed under: uncultured bacterium
Lineage: Bacteria
Description: bacterial SSU rRNA
Rfam family: Bacterial small subunit ribosomal RNA
Source: RNAcentral
AACGCGAAGAACCUUACCUACUCUUGACAUCCACGGAAUUUAGCAGAGAUGCUUUAGUGCCUUCGGGAACCGUGAGACAGGUGCUGCAUGGCUGUCGUCAGCUCGUGUUGUGAAAUGUUGGGUUAAGUCCCGCAACGAGCGCAACCCUUAUCCUUUGUUGCCAGCGAGUAAUGUCGGGAACUCAAAGGAGACCGCCGGUGAUAAACCGGAGGAAGGUGGGGAUGACGUCAAGUCAUCAUGGCCCUUACGAGUAGGCUACACACGUGCUACAAUGGCAUAUACAAAGAGAAGCGAACUCGCGAGAGCAAGCGGACCUCAUAAAGUAUGUCGUAGUCCGGAUUGGAGUCUGCAACUCGACUCCAUGAAGUCGGAAUCGCUAGUAAUCGUAGAUCAGAAUGCUACGGUGAAUACGUUCCCGGGCCUUGUACACACCGCCCGU